RNAcentral lists this ribosomal RNA (597 nucleotides) under Caballeronia sp. RNAcentral describes it as "bacterial SSU rRNA". It matches the Rfam family "Bacterial small subunit ribosomal RNA", at positions 451 to 1045 of the family's 1533-position model. The record is from RNAcentral. Lineage: Bacteria; Pseudomonadati; Pseudomonadota; Betaproteobacteria; Burkholderiales; Burkholderiaceae.
CCCUAAUAUGGUGGUGGGAUGACGGUACCGGAAGAAUAAGCACCGGCUAACUACGUGCCAGCAGCCGCGGUAAUACGUAGGGUGCGAGCGUUAAUCGGAAUUACUGGGCGUAAAGCGUGCGCAGGCGGUCUGUUAAGACCGAUGUGAAAUCCCCGGGCUUAACCUGGGAACUGCAUUGGUGACUGGCAGGCUUUGAGUGUGGCAGAGGGGGGUAGAAUUCCACGUGUAGCAGUGAAAUGCGUAGAGAUGUGGAGGAAUACCGAUGGCGAAGGCAGCCCCCUGGGCCAACACUGACGCUCAUGCACGAAAGCGUGGGGAGCAAACAGGAUUAGAUACCCUGGUAGUCCACGCCCUAAACGAUGUCAACUAGUUGUUGGGGAUUCAUUUCCUUAGUAACGUAGCUAACGCGUGAAGUUGACCGCCUGGGGAGUACGGUCGCAAGAUUAAAACUCAAAGGAAUUGACGGGGACCCGCACAAGCGGUGGAUGAUGUGGAUUAAUUCGAUGCAACGCGAAAAACCUUACCUACCCUUGACAUGGUCGGAAGUCUGCUGAGAGGUGGACGUGCUCGAAAGAGAACCGGCGCACAGGUGCUGCA